UGGCUCAGGAUGAACGCUGGCGGCGUGCCUAACACAUGCAAGUCGAGCGGUAUAUAGUGGAACGAAACUUCGGUCGAGUGAAGCCAUAGAGAGCGGCGGACGGGUGAGUAACGCGUAGGCAACCUGCCCCAUACAGAGGGAUAGCCUCGGGAAACCGGGAUUAAAACCUCAUAACGCGAGGAGUUCACAUGGACUUCUCGCCAAAGAUUCAUCGGUAUGGGAUGGGCCUGCGUCUGAUUAGCUAGUUGGUGAGGUAACGGCUCACCAAGGCGACGAUCAGUAGCCGACCUGAGAGGGUAAUCGGCCACAUUGGAACUGAGACACGGUCCAAACUCCUACGGGAGGCAGCAGUGGGGAAUAUUGCACAAUGGGCGAAAGCCUGAUGCAGCAACGCCGCGUGAGCGAUGAAGGCCUUUGGGUCGUAAAGCUCUGUCCUUGGGGAAGAAACAAAUGACGGUACCCUUGGAGGAAGCCCCGGCUAACUACGUGCCAGCAGCCGCGGUAAUACGUAGGGGGCGAGCGUUAUCCGGAAUUAUUGGGCGUAAAGAGUGCGUAGGUGGCCAUGUAAGCGCGGGGUGAAAGGCAAUAGCUUAACUAUUGUAAGCCUUGCGAACUGUGUGGCUUGAGUGCAGGAGAGGAAAGUGGAAUUCCUAGUGUAGCGGUGAAAUGCGUAGAUAUUAGGAGGAACACCAGUGGCGAAGGCGACUUUCUGGACUGUAACUGACACUGAGGCACGAAAGCGUGGGGAGCAAACAGGAUUAGAUACCCUGGUAGUCCACGCCGUAAACGAUGAGCACUAGGUGUCGGGGUCGCAAGACUUCGGUGCCGCAGUUAACGCAUUAAGUGCUCCGCCUGGGGAGUACGCACGCAAGUGUGAAAC
Molecule: ribosomal RNA, 880 nt
Filed under: unidentified
Description: bacterial SSU rRNA
Rfam family: Bacterial small subunit ribosomal RNA
Source: RNAcentral